Molecule: long non-coding RNA, 1212 nt
Organism: Oncorhynchus mykiss (rainbow trout)
Lineage: Eukaryota; Metazoa; Chordata; Actinopteri; Salmoniformes; Salmonidae
Source: RefSeq, a predicted model, not a curated record
ACCCUCUGCUCUACUCUAACCUUGAUCAUAUUAAUCACUUAUAUAAGUGUCACAUGCAUGCACACACACGCACGCACACACACACACACACAUCAUGAAACCCCAGGUUUCCCCUGGGAUAACAGGCUUUCCAAGAAAAACCUCCGGAUCGGGCAGUGACCAGGUGCUAGUCACCCAAACUGCAAGGUGACCAUCGUGAUGUGCAAGAGCAGGUCAAACAACGAUGAAACCAGGAGGUGGUGGCCCACUGGAAAGCAGAGUGUGGCCUGGCCAUAGACUAGACUCUCCUGCUGACCCUGCAUUCUGCUCACACCCUGGAUACGCUGGGCAGCAGGACCGCCAGGAAACAGCUAACACACACCUAAUUAGCAGAACAAACCAUGUAAUUGUCUCCCAAAUUGUCUCCCAAACUGUUAUGUGACAGUUUUAAAUAUACUGGUAUAUAUAAACUGGUGCCCCGUGUAUAUAGACAAGACUCAUUAUGUAUUAUUACUUUUAUUAUUACAUUUUGUACUUUUCUAUUAUUUCUCUAUUAUCUUUCUCUCUGUAUUGUUGGGAAGGUCCCGUAACUAAGUAUUUCACUGUUAGUUCACACCUGUUGUUUAUGAAGCAUGUGACGAAUCAAUUUGUUAUUUCAUUGAUUUGAUACUAAAUGUAAUAUUGCCUGUUUGAAACAGACCCCCUCGGUAUGUAAAUGUGUGUCUGAAACCGUCAGAAGAUGUCAAUGAAUUGUGAAUAUGAAUUACAGCCUUCUGCUUCCUGCUUGGAAAGGUCAGUCUGACAUGGCUCCCUCGUGUCACUUGUUUAGUUGGCACCGGCAUAAACAGAUGCUUUCAUAUCUGUCACACACACACGCAGGCACGUACCAACGCAUGCACUCUCAUACACACACACACUAGGUUGUAUUCCCAGCUAGCCAAUCCCUAUCUGAACUCGAAACCAAACCACAGAGCAAGUCAAAGGAGUCAUCCACAGUAUCUUUAUAAUGGGACUCUAUAAUGUGAUUGACAUGUUAUCAGCCUCUGAUGGCAUGAGAGCUGCACUGAGGUACCCUGACAGGAAAGGUGAUGAUAAGGUGAAUGGAGGAUAGAGGAGAUGGAUGGAUGAUGGACCCGAGGGUAGAUGAGUACAUGGUUGCAUCCCAAAAUGGCACCCUAUUCCGUACAUGGUGUACUACUUUUGACCAGAGCCCUAUGGGUCCAGAUCAAAAGU